This 253-nucleotide ribosomal RNA is filed under the name uncultured bacterium. RNAcentral describes it as "partial 16S ribosomal RNA". It matches the Rfam family "Bacterial small subunit ribosomal RNA", at positions 524 to 776 of the family's 1533-position model. The record is from RNAcentral.
UACGUAGGGUGCAAGCGUUGUCCGGAAUUAUUGGGCGUACAGAGCUCGUAGGCGGUUUGUCGCGUCUGCUGUGAAAACGCGAGGCUCAACCUCGCGCCUGCAGUGGGUACGGGCAGACUAGAGUGCGGUAGGGGAGAUUGGAAUUCCUGGUGUAGCGGUGGAAUGCGCAGAUAUCAGGAGGAACACCGAUGGCGAAGGCAGAUCUCUGGGCCGUAACUGACGCUGAGGAGCGAAAGCGUGGGGAGCGAACAGG